This 587-nucleotide ribosomal RNA is filed under the name uncultured archaeon. RNAcentral describes it as "bacterial SSU rRNA". It matches the Rfam family "Archaeal small subunit ribosomal RNA", at positions 70 to 658 of the family's 1478-position model. The record is from RNAcentral.
AGUAAUACAAGGCAGACGGCUCAGUAACACGUAGUCAACCUACCCUAUGGACAAGAAUAAUCUCGGGAAACUGGGCAUAAUUCUUGAUAGAUCAUAAUGCCUGGAAUGGUUUAUGGUUAAAAUGAUUCGUCGCCAUAGGAUGGGACUGCGGCCUAUCAGCUUGUUGGUGAGGUAAUGGCCCACCAAGGCGAUUACAGGUACGGGCUCUGAGAGGAGAAGCCCGGAGAUGGGUACUGAGACACGGACCCAGGCCCUAUGGGGCGCAGCAGGCGAGAAAACUUUGCAAUGUGCGAAAGCACGACAAGGUUAAUCCGAGUGAUUUCUGCUAAAGAAAUCUUUUGCCAGUCGUAAAACCGCUGGUGAAUAAGGGGUGGGCAAGCUCUGGUGUCAGCCGCCGCGGUAAAACCAGCACCUCAAGUGGUCAGGAUGAUUAUUGGGCCUAAAGCAUCCGUAGCCGGCUUUGUAAGUUUUCGGUUAAAUCCAUGUGCUCAACGCAUGGGCUGCCGAAAAUACUGCAUAGCUAGGGAGUGGGAGAGGUAGACGGUACUCAGUAGGAAGGGGUAAAAUCCUUUGAUCUAUUGAUGACC